GUGAGGAAUAUUGCGCAAUGGAGGCAACUCUGACGCAGCCAUGCCGCGUGCAGGAAGAAGGCGCUACGCGUUGUAAACUGCUUUUAACCGGGAAGAAACCCCAGGACGUGUCCUGGGUUGACGGUACCGGAGGAAUAAGCACCGGCUAACUUCGUGACAGCAGCCGCGGUAAUACGAAGGGUGCAAGCGUUAUCCGGAUUCAUUGGGUUUAAAGGGUGCGUAGGCGGAGCGUUAAGUCAGUGGUGAAAUCCUGCAGCUUAACUGUAGACUUGCCAUUGAUACUGGCGCUCUUGAGUGCGCUUGAAGUGGGCGGAAUGUGCCGUGUAGCGGUGAAAUGCUUAGAUAUGGCACAGAACACCAAUUGCGAAGGCAGCUCACUAAGGCGAUACUGACGCUGAGGCACGAAAGCGUGGGGAUCGAACAGGAUUAGAUACCCUAGUAGUCC
RNAcentral lists this ribosomal RNA (445 nucleotides) under uncultured bacterium. RNAcentral's name for it is "partial 16S ribosomal RNA". It matches the Rfam family "Bacterial small subunit ribosomal RNA", at positions 354 to 796 of the family's 1533-position model. The record is from RNAcentral.